UCAUCCGAAUCAAUUCUGAUAUGAAUAAAAAUUUAAGAAUCUGACUAAUAUCCGUAUUCGUAUCUAUAUCCAUCAUAGAAAAAUAGAUAUGUAUAUGGAUAAAUAAUUAUCUAAUUCAUAUCUAAAUAUCCGAAUCGACAUGUGACCCUAUAUAAUUUUAUAUAGUAUUUAUUAAUUUUUUAAAAAAAUAUAACUAUAUAAAUAUAUUAUUAAUUUG
This 217-nucleotide long non-coding RNA is filed under the name Elaeis guineensis (African oil palm). Its description in RNAcentral is "long non-coding RNA (EGUI_LNC043591)". Lineage: Eukaryota; Viridiplantae; Streptophyta; Magnoliopsida; Arecales; Arecaceae. The record is from RNAcentral.